AAAGAAGAAGAAGCAUACAACAUUGUGUCUAUAACACUAAAGCCAAAAAAUAUAUGGCUUGAAUCUAAUCAUGACAAGAUAUUAAAGUAAUGAGCGUUCUACAAAGCAACUGGCUUAUAAUCUUCAACUGUCAGGGUCAGUAAAGCCAAGAAAAAAUAAAGAAUGGUUCCAGCUUAAGGGAGGCUAAAAAACAUGAUGACUAAAGGCAGCACAUAAUUCUGAACUUAUCCUCUUGAUAGAAUAUUUCGGGACAAUCAGCAAAUUUUUAUUGGACUCCAAGGAUUAUGUAGCAAGAAUAAUUUGCAUCUCUCUCUUACAGUGUUGUUAGAUUAUUAGAGGGUUAAAGGACAUAAUACAAGCAAAGCACUGACUGCAAAAAAAAAUCUAUUCACGAAAUAAAAAAAUAUAAAUAUUCAAUACAUUAACAGGAAGCUGGAUCAGAAGUCGAGGUGCCAGAACUUGAACUGGCACUCUGAUAUGAGAUGUGGGCAAACCACGAAUUGGCUUAGUUUGCUAUGCUGUAGUGCCCACCCCAGCAUUGGGAAAUCAAACAUUGCACUUCUUAAAUAGCCCAUUGCAUGGAACAGGAAGACUCGAAGAAUAUGGACAGGCCAAAGCUGGCAUUGAAGAACAGUGAGUUAAGCAGCCUGCAAUGUGAUUCCAGUCUCAGCUACUCUACUUCUGACCCAGCUUCCUCUAAUGUGUUUAAGAAAGCAGAAGAAAAUGACCCAAGCGCUUGGGCCCCUGAGCCUACACGGGAGCUCCAGGUGGAGUUCCAGGCUCCUUGCUUCAGUCUGGUCCGGCCCCAGUUGUUGCAGCCAUUUGGGGAGUGAACUAGUGAGUGAAAGAUUCCUCUUCUGAUAUCUCCCUAUCUCUCUCCGUAACUCUGCCUUCCAAGGACACUCCUUCAUUUAACUACCGUGAGGAGAGCAGUGACUAAGAGGGGUCAAUACAAUCCUCGCUAACUCACUGAGACACUCAAAAGGAAUGUGUUUAUCUGAUUUUAUUUCAUGUUUAAGAAAAUUUUACUUUAGCCAUGGGAGUUUCAAGCUGAACUCAUGGGCCAGAAACUCCAUCCAAGUCUUCCAAGUGGGUGGCAGAGGCCUAAACACUUGAGUCACCACCUGCUGCCUGCCCCCAGGAUGCACAUCAGCAGGAAGUUGGAAUCAGAAGUGGAACUGGAACUGGAAGCUAGGCCCAUGAUGGCAGCUGAAGGUGUGGCUCCUCUAGAAGAUACCGGAUUCUGAAAUGCAAGAGAGGAAAUGGAUAAUGAAAUAGUCCAUCACAAGAAAGAGGGAGACCAUCUGCUUUGGAGCUCUGCUUCCAUGGAGGCUUGGAAAUCACAGCAGCACAGAAACUGGAAGGAUUUGGAAGAACCUAACAGAGUAUCCGGUAGAGACUUAAGUCAAGGGCCAGGAUGGAACCUUGCCAGAGACACUGAAAGUCACUUCUCUCUGUCCCACGUAAGGGUAGAAAUGUACUGACUCCAC
Long non-coding RNA from Ochotona princeps (American pika), 1490 nucleotides. RefSeq lists it as uncharacterized. The record is from RefSeq and is a predicted model, not a curated record. Lineage: Eukaryota; Metazoa; Chordata; Mammalia; Lagomorpha; Ochotonidae. The transcript is spliced from 3 exons.